This 401-nucleotide ribosomal RNA is filed under the name Cyphotilapia frontosa (humphead cichlid). RNAcentral's name for it is "partial 16S ribosomal RNA". It matches the Rfam family "Bacterial large subunit ribosomal RNA", at positions 1923 to 2472 of the family's 2925-position model. Lineage: Eukaryota; Metazoa; Chordata; Actinopteri; Cichliformes; Cichlidae. The record is from RNAcentral.
UUUAACGGCCGCGGUAUUUUGACCGUGCAAAGGUAGCGCAAUCACUUGUCUUUUAAAUGAAGACCUGUAUGAAUGGCAUAACGAGGGCUUAACUGUCUCCUUUUUCCAGUCAAUGAAAUUGAUCUCCCCGUGCAGAAGCGAGGAUAUUAACAUAAGACGAGAAGACCCUAUGGAGCUUUAGACACCAGAACAGACCAUGUCAAACACCCCUUAAAUGAAGGACAAAACUAAUUGGCCCCUGUUCUAAUGUCUUUGGUUGGGGCGACCGCGGGGAAACAAAAAACCCCCAUGUGGACCGGGAGCACACUCACUCCUACAACCCAGAGGCACAACUCCAAGUAACAGAACUUCUGACCAACAAGAUCCGGCACAUAGCCGAUCAACGGACCGAGUACCCUAGC